This is a long non-coding RNA of Marmota flaviventris (yellow-bellied marmot), 292 nucleotides long. RefSeq lists it as uncharacterized. The record is from RefSeq and is a predicted model, not a curated record. NCBI's taxonomy places the organism in Eukaryota, Metazoa, Chordata, Mammalia, Rodentia, Sciuridae.
GUCACUAACUAAGCCACUAUGUGGUUCUCAUGUGGGGAUGUGUGGGGAAAGGGCUGGUGAGGUGGUCUAGAGAGAAAAGAUACAUUUGAGUUUGCAUUAUAGGAAGAAAGUCUAAUGGGACAAUGGAGCAUGCCCUGGGACUUGAAGCCUCAGUUUAUGCAAGGACCUACUUUCUGUCACCUGCUUUGGAUGGGAUUUCAGAUACCUUCUCCCAAUCGUCUGUCCAUCUGACCCUGCCCAGCCUCCCUCUCCCUACUCUUGCCCAGUGAUUACAGUUUCCUACUCCACCUUG